RNAcentral lists this ribosomal RNA (631 nucleotides) under uncultured Bacillota bacterium. Its description in RNAcentral is "bacterial SSU rRNA". It matches the Rfam family "Bacterial small subunit ribosomal RNA", at positions 69 to 679 of the family's 1533-position model. Lineage: Bacteria; Bacillati; Bacillota. The record is from RNAcentral.
UCUAUGGAAGCUUGCUUCCACUGAGAAGAUAGUGGCGAACGGGUGAGUAACACGUGGGUAACCUGCCCAUAAGAGGGGGAUAACAUCCGGAAACGGGUGCUAAUACCGCAUAGUUUUCUUGAUCGCAUGAUCGGGAAAGGAAAGACGGCCUUUGUGCUGUCGCUUAUGGAUGGACCCGCGGCGUAUUAGUUAGUUGGUGAGGUAACGGCUCACCAAGACGAUGAUACGUAGCCGACCUGAGAGGGUGAUCGGCCACAUUGGGACUGAGACACGGCCCAAACUCCUACGGGAGGCAGCAGUAGGGAAUCUUCCGCAAUGGACGAAAGUCUGACGGAGCAACGCCGCGUGAGUGAAGAAGGUUUUCGGAUCGUAAAACUCUGUUGUCAGAGAAGAACAAGUUGGAGAGUAACUGCUCCAGCCUUGACGGUAUCUGACCAGAAAGCCACGGCUAACUACGUGCCAGCAGCCGCGGUAAUACGUAGGUGGCAAGCGUUGUCCGGAUUUAUUGGGCGUAAAGCGAGCGCAGGCGGUUCCUUAAGUCUGAUGUGAAAGCCCACGGCUCAACCGUGGAAGGUCAUUGGAAACUGGGGAACUUGAGUGCAGAAGAGGAGAGUGGAAUUCCAUGUGUAGC